CUGCUGGAGUUUCAUAAGCAAGCCUGGGGUAAGGCCAUUAUGCCUUGUCUUCUCACUACGUUCCAUGAUUAAGAGUCUCUCUCCAGCUUUCUUGUAUGAAACAAGUGAACAUAUUACAAUUACAAAGAUUCAGCAAAAACUAGUAGAAGAAAGAUAGAAGAUAACUAAAGAAGUAUUCCUGUAAAAAUGGCCUUGUAAAAUAAAUGACUGAUUUCUAAAAUGUUUUCCUUUGAAUCUAUGUAAAGACAUUUUAAAGGAAAAGAAAUACACAGAA
This is a long non-coding RNA of Lagopus muta (rock ptarmigan), 274 nucleotides long. RefSeq lists it as uncharacterized. The transcript has 3 exons. NCBI's taxonomy places the organism in Eukaryota, Metazoa, Chordata, Aves, Galliformes, Phasianidae. The record is from RefSeq and is a predicted model, not a curated record.